This 210-nucleotide ribosomal RNA is filed under the name Trichoderma koningii. RNAcentral describes it as "partial large subunit ribosomal RNA". Lineage: Eukaryota; Fungi; Ascomycota; Sordariomycetes; Hypocreales; Hypocreaceae. The record is from RNAcentral.
AAGCGCUUGUGACCAGACUUGGGCGCGGCGAAUCAUCCGGGGUUCUCUCCGGUGCACUUCGCCGUGUUCAGGCCAGCAUCAGUUCGGCGCGGGGGAAAAAGGCUUCGGGAACGUGGCUGCUCCGGCAGUGUUAUAGCCCGUUGCAUAAUACCCUGCGCUGGACUGAGGACCGCGCAUCUGCAAGGAUGCUGGCGUAAUGGUCACCAGCGA